GACGAACGCUGGCGGCGUGCUUAACACAUGCAAGUCGAACGGAAAGGCCCUGCUUUUGUGGGGUGCUCGAGUGGCGAACGGGUGAGUAACACGUGAGUAACCUGCCCUUGACUUUGGGAUAACUUCAGGAAACUGGGGCUAAUACCGGAUAGGAGCUCCUGCUGCAUGGUGGGGGUUGGAAAGUUUCGGCGGUUGGGGCUGGACUCGCGGCUUAUCAGCUUGUUGGUGGGGUAGUGGCUUACCAAGGCCUUGACGGGUAGCCGGCCUGAGAGGGUGGACGGCGACAUGGGGACUGAGGGACGGCCCAGACGCCUACGGGAGGCAGCAGUGGGGAAUAUUACACAAUGGGGGGAAGCCUAAUGAAGCAGCGCCGCGGGCGGGAUGACGGCCUGCGGGGUGUAAACCGCUUUCGCCUGUGACGAAGCGUGAGUGACGGUAAUGGGUAAAGAAGCACCGGCUAACUACGUG
This 468-nucleotide ribosomal RNA is filed under the name uncultured bacterium. RNAcentral's name for it is "partial 16S ribosomal RNA". It matches the Rfam family "Bacterial small subunit ribosomal RNA", at positions 28 to 507 of the family's 1533-position model. The record is from RNAcentral.